Molecule: RNA transcript, 585 nt
Organism: Eubalaena glacialis (North Atlantic right whale)
Lineage: Eukaryota; Metazoa; Chordata; Mammalia; Artiodactyla; Balaenidae
Gene: NUPR2
Gene name: nuclear protein 2, transcriptional regulator
Exons: 2
Source: RefSeq, a predicted model, not a curated record
CGCGCGGGCGACGACGAGGCCAGGCGCGAUGGACCCGGCCUUUCCCGGUGUCCAGGGUCAGGCCCAGCCGCCGCCACCCGAAGCGUGGCCGCUGGUUGGCUCCGAGGAGCUCUAUGACUGUCCGGAUUACUACUACCUGCGCGACUUCCCGGCCUGCGGGGCCGGACGCAGCAAGGGCCGGACGCGGCGCGAGCGGGAACUGCGCACGAACUGGCGGGCGCCCGGCGGCCACGAGCGCAGGAUCGCGCAGAAGCUCCUCAACGGCCAGCGCAAGUGUCGCCAGCGCCAGCUGCAGCCCCGGCCGCGCACCCGUCUCGCCUGAGCGCUGGUGCGUGCGGGCAGCCACGGGCCGGGGCCCAGGAGAACCGCGCGAGCGCCCUGGAUACCCAUACCCGAAGGACCUGAUAAAAGUAUUUUCUCUGACUCCAGCUGUAACUGUGGUCCUAAGGGGAACAGUCCAUGUUGCUCAACAGAACUUUUUUCGACAUCGCUUAAGUUCAGUAUCUUUUCCUUACUGAUUGUUAAUUAAGUAACAUCCAAGUGGGUAUGCCUGUUUAGGGUUUUUAAUUAAAAGAGCAGCAAGAA